AGUGAACGCUGGCGGUAGGCCUAACACAUGCAAGUCGAACGGCAGCACAGUAAGAGCUUGCUCUUGCGGGUGGCGAGUGGCGGACGGGUGAGGAAUACAUCGGAAUCUACUUUUUCGUGGGGGAUAACGUAGGGAAACUUACGCUAAUACCGCAUACGACCUACGGGUGAAAGCAGGGGAUCUUCGGACCUUGCGCGAUUGAAUGAGCCGAUGUCGGAUUAGCUAGUUGGCGGGGUAAAGGCCCACCAAGGCGACGCUCCGUAGCUGGUCUGAGAGGAUGAUCAGCCACAAUGGAACUGAGACACGGUCCAGACUCCUACGGGAGGCAGCAGUGGGGAAUAUUGGACAAUGGGCGCAAGCCUGAUCCAGCCAUACCGCGUGGGUGAAGAAGGCCUUCGGGUUGUAAAGCCCUUUUGUUGGGAAAGAAAAGCAGCAGGUUAAUACCCCGCUGUUCUGACGGUACCCAAAGAAUAAGCACCGGCUAACUUCGUG
Molecule: ribosomal RNA, 492 nt
Filed under: uncultured bacterium
Lineage: Bacteria
Description: partial 16S ribosomal RNA
Rfam family: Bacterial small subunit ribosomal RNA
Source: RNAcentral